UAACUGUAAAUAUUAGUGUUGAGUCCUCACAUGCAUGCACAAUUUCUAUUGGUAAAGGACUCCCAGUGGGACUCCAUCUUCUAUACGUUAAGGUCACUCGAGUGGGACCCCCAGUGUCCCCCCCCUCCCCGCGGUGUUAUUAACAUGCGUCACAUUAUUCCCCCCACCCUUUAUUUCGUUUUAGUGCCUAACGUCUCUAGAGCCCAUGCUGAACACAUGUACUUAGUUCUCUCGAGUCCUGGUGUUUCUCAUGUCUACGAAAUCGAGCGACAAUCAUCGUCUAUACGCUUCUCCUUCAUUGCUUUGCAGAGUUGAGAAGGAGUGAGCCUUGAUAGAUUUGUGGCAAAAAGGGGGAGUUAGAGGAGCUGCGCUACUGAGGGGGAGUUGAAUGAUUUUUUAUUUUUUUUUAAAGAAUUUUAAGAUUUAGGGGGAGAACUGAAAUAUCAUUUUGCUUGGGUCUAUAUCAAGUACAAUCUUAACUUUCUGAUCAACUGUUGGUUAGAUUUGGUACUUUUCCUAGACAUGACUGUGAUGUUAAAUUACUACGAUGAUUCUUUAGAAUUUUAGUCGCUGCUUUUAUGUUGCUACUUUUUUUUUUGAUAGAAAAGUACUUCAUUUCAUAAAGGCAGGCAUAACACCUUAAGAUAGGCUACUCUUUUGUGCUGUUACUUGUGUGUUCGGAAUUAUGUGUUUCUUGUGGUGUUUUCUAAGUUUUUGACAGGUUCAAGUUACAUUCAAUAAGUACUUGGUUUUGUUACCAAUCCGUCAAAGGAAGAGAUUGAAGAUGUGAAUUUCAAGAGUUUGUCUAGCAUUAGGUGACUAAGAUGAUAAACAUCAUCGUCUUGAGUUUAAAUUAUUUGAGUUGUUGAAUGUAAAGUAUUUUGAGUUUGUUUAGAGUUUGUAAUAUUAAGUGUUUUAAAGAAGUCAAAACAUAUAAUUCCAAGUCUCAAGGUUCUUAUCUAUUGAAAAGUUUGAAUUUGAAACGGCUAAAAGUUUGUGGAGAUAGUUUCCUGCGGUUAGCAAACUGUUAGCCAAACAGUCGUGAUGAAUUCAAUCUAUCAGUAGAAUUUCACUGGGACUUGGAAAUUGCUUCCAAAAUAUACUUAAAUUGUGCUACUAAUUAGGAAUAAUAGAGAUUCAAUUCUGGAUAUUUUGAGAGCACUUCCCAGUGCUUAUUUUGGUGA
Carya illinoinensis is the source of this 1184-nucleotide long non-coding RNA. RefSeq lists it as uncharacterized. The transcript has 2 exons. NCBI's taxonomy places the organism in Eukaryota, Viridiplantae, Streptophyta, Magnoliopsida, Fagales, Juglandaceae. The record is from RefSeq and is a predicted model, not a curated record.